Halichondria panicea is the source of this 918-nucleotide long non-coding RNA. RefSeq lists it as uncharacterized. The record is from RefSeq and is a predicted model, not a curated record. The transcript is spliced from 2 exons. Lineage: Eukaryota; Metazoa; Porifera; Demospongiae; Suberitida; Halichondriidae.
CCUCGAUCCCAGGCCGAGUUUUCGCUUUUAUAACGGUUAGGCGAACAACUGGGCCUGGUACUAGUUGUCUGCGCAUGCGUCAAUCGUUCGUCAGAUUCUGACGAAUGGAUAUUCUCGUUCACUUUCGUGACAUUUAUAUUCGUGUACUAUCGUGUACUAGAAGUCAGUUCCCGUUUUAUCAUUAUUGGAAUCGAUUGGAAUGGCUCUUAGCUGAAGCUUCUCUCUUCUCUGAAGCUUAUUCUGAAGACUGAACAACAAGGGAAGAGGUAUAAAGCUUUGUCAAGCUUGUUAAGGUCAGAUAUUUUUGUGUGGGCCCUAUGGCUAUGCUAUCAAGUUUUGUUCAUGUUUGGCAAGAUCUACCGGUAGGUAGACUAUAGUUUCAUCAUUAAUAUGGUGGAUCAAGUGAAGAGUGUGAGCUAGAGAACUUGGUGCUGCCAUCAUCAACUCGUCGACAAUGACACUAUAACCGAGAAAUUUAAUAUGUAUAGAUCUACACGUAUUUAAAAUGUCUACUUCUCUGUACAGGAGCAAUGGCUAAUAUCCAGCUAUCCCAACAGUGCUCCUCUUGGCUAUACUAACGGACGAGACUGGACAGUUUGAGACACAGGACUGGAGUAUGACCUGCUGAUUCGAGCGUUGCUGGGUAGCUCAGAGACAUCAAGAGAAUCUACGUUUUCUCAAGCAAUGAGUUACGAGUUGGGGCCUAGAAUCAGAGAAGUCCAGCAGUCUGCUAAAUCUUUUUGAAACGUAAUUUGAAGGCAUUCAAUCAUCCUGAAGUUGCCCUGGGUCACUGUAAUUGUGCUGCAGCACAACUGGCAACUCCCCAGGCCUUUGUGAAGCAGCUCCCUAUGUGCAUCUUUUGUGUACUCACUCUGUGCAUUUUCUGUGUACAAAUUUCUAUUAUUGAUUUAUUAAAUA